CGUAUAAAAGGAGAGAGAAAAGGCGAAGGUAAAUCAGUCGAGUGAGCAUCUUCGACACGGCAACAACUACAGCGCACUCACCAUCUGCCUUCUUCACUGUAUUGCCAGUUCGCAACCAUGGUUGUCUAAGGCGUCGUAUGCUGUUGGGUGUUGUAUCGUUAAUGGCUGGGUCGACCACUGGUGUACCGAUGUCUCCUGGGGUGUGGCGGAUGCCAAACCGCAACGCCGCCGCCUUACUACGCAACAACCGGUUCCUACACCACCAAGGUUCAAGAGUGUUACACCACAAUUUAUGAUGCCCCGAGCUGCUACACCGAAUCCCGAAGUAUAACUCUGCCCCGAGUUACAUCACUAGAGAGCCGGAUUACUACACCGAGGCUCCGAAGUACUACAUCACUAAGACACCGGAAUACUACACGUCUAUGUAUGCUGCCCCUGCCUACUACACCGAGGCCCCGCAUUACUACAACACCGAAUCGCUUAAGUACUACACUUCAACCUACGCUGCCCCAAUCUACUACACCUACGUCCCGAAGUAUUACUGUGCGUAAAAGGAGUCGUCUAAGUCGUGCCUGAACUGCAGAGCCCUAUCUGUCACCAACUGCAUUCCUCAUCGUGUAACCGAUUCGCAAUUAUGGAUUUAUUUACUGUUUACUUGUUUAGUCAACGAUGGCGCCGUGCUCCCUGUUGGGUGUUGUAUCGUUGAUGGCUGGGUCGACCACUGGUGUACAGAUGUCUCCGAGAAGUCUCCUUGGUAUGGCGCAAACCAAACCGCAACGCCGCUGCAUUCCGACACAACUUAUGCAACGACCAGUUCCUACACCGAGGUCUUCAAGUACUUCAUCACUACAGCACCGGAGUUUUAUACCACAACUUACGCUGCCCCGAGCCACUACACUGACGCUCUGAAGUAUUAGUCUGCCCCGAGUUACUACACCAUCUAGGCGACGGAGUACUACAUGAUUACGUAUGCUGCCCAUCCUACUACACCGAGGCUUCUAACAACUACACCGAGGCUCCCGCUGAUUACUCCACCAAACGGUUGAGUACUACACCUAAGCGCCAAAGUACUUCUCUGCCCCGAUCUACACAACCACAACUGAGGCAGCCAAGUAUUACGCAGUCCCGACUUGCUACCCAGAAGCUGUUCUUUCGUGCUACGUUGAACAGAAAUACUACACAUACUACGCUCCAGUUAACUACACCACGACCUACGUUACACCUAGCCACAACACCGCAGCCCCCAAAUACUACACCGAAGAAGCCGCCUAUUACACAACCACGUACGCUGCCUGGUAUACUACAUCCAGGAAUUUAAGUAUUACUCUGCUCCAAACUACUACCAAACUGAAGUUAAUUUCUAUUUCACCAGCAAUUCUCCCGACCAUGUCACCACUACUUGUGUUGCUCCGACCUAUACAUCGAAGUUCUGAAGUAUUUCUCUUGAUGUGUUGAAAGUUUGCUGAAAUACAAGAUUGAUCGAUAAA
This is a long non-coding RNA of Daphnia pulex (common water flea), 1487 nucleotides long. RefSeq lists it as uncharacterized. The transcript is spliced from 4 exons. The record is from RefSeq and is a predicted model, not a curated record. Lineage: Eukaryota; Metazoa; Arthropoda; Branchiopoda; Diplostraca; Daphniidae.